Molecule: long non-coding RNA, 1909 nt
Organism: Grus americana (Whooping crane)
Lineage: Eukaryota; Metazoa; Chordata; Aves; Gruiformes; Gruidae
Exons: 3
Source: RefSeq, a predicted model, not a curated record
CUCUGGUGGGUGCGCAGGCAGGCGGCACCCAUGCUCUGCGAGGGGACUCCCACGCACCCAUGCAAGGGGGGCCCACACCCCAUGCAAGGGGGGCCCCACGACCUCUAUGCACCCUGCACAGAGACCCCCGUGCAAGGGGACACGCGCCGAUCAGGCGCCCGUGGCCGCCCCGCGUGGGGAGCCCACGCCGCCGGGAUUGUGCUCGGCAGUGGCCGGGGACGUGGUGCCACCUCGCGGCCCGGGCAGCCCCGGGACCAGCCGGUCCCGUCCCGUCCCUCCCCGGGGCUGCCGGGUGCUGCCGUUCCCACCCCAGAAGCGGCUGCACCGAGACGCCCGGGGCAAGAGGCGAGUCAGUGGCUGGGCAUCAUCCGGCGCGGAGUUACCGGCGGGAAGGGGGAAAAAGAAAAAGAAAAAGAAAAAGAAAAAGAAAAAGAAAAAGAAAAAGAAAAAGAAAAAGAAAAAGAAAAAGAAAAAGAAAAAGAAAAAGAAAAAGAAAAAGAAAAAGAAAAAGAAAAAGAAAAAGAAAAAGAAAAAGAAAAAGAAAAAGAAAAACCUCGGUGGGUGAAGGCAAGGGGAGGUGUGUGACACCCCCCCAGCCACCGCAAGCCGGGUCUGGUGCCGCUGCCGGGGAAUUCUGCCCGACAAAAGCAGCCGCUUCAGCUCACCGAGGCAUCACCGCGCACCCCAGCCCGGCCGCGGCACGCUGCGGGCUCGCCGAGCGGCCAGUGACCCCGCGUGGAAGAACGGGCGGAUUGUCUUUCAAACGGAGCCGAUGCGGAGCUUGAAUGUCCCUUGCCACCUUGGCUAUAAAUCAUCCUGCAUGUGAUAAGAAGAUGCUGGAUGGAGUUCCAUCAGCUGGAGUGAAAACCAGCUCCUGCCUUUCUGCUCUCCCCUGUGCACACAGGUUCUUUCCCCAGAGGGUCAGCUAAGGGUGCCUAGAAGCUGGGGAAAGGAUCUUCUGUUGGCAUCACUGUUGGCAUCACCCCUCUUCGCAGGCAGGAGAUUUGUAGUGAGUGCAUGGGGUGAGACCACAAAACCCAGACUGUCUCCCCAAACCGGUGUUUCAGUACUUAUUGCUGUAAUGUGGUGACGGGUCGAGUCAAUGUCUGGGACUCUUGGAGUCUGUGAACAUCCCUGGGGAAAACAGCUACAGACGAGAGCAGCUAAAGGUGUGCACAACCAACCAACCCAAUUCAGUUCCUUUACAGAUGAGUUCUCUCUGGCAUUCAGACAUGCUGCCUCCUUCUUGUCUGGUCUUGAGGGAGAGAGUAGCCAAACGUUGAGGAAGAGGCCCAGCUCUGUGUCCCAGGCAGCUGCUCAGCCUUUCAAAGCACUCAGACAAGCCUGACCGUCCACCAGACGCUGGCAGAGCUGCUCCUGCAGGCCGUGACAGCGGGAGAAGUCACUCUUGGUGGGGAACCAGUGCAAAGGACUCCAUUCCUCCGGAGGGGUUUUGGAUACUCACACUGCUUGGGGGCCACUGAAACCAGCGGCAAGGAUGGAAAAACAAAGCAGACGAAUUUUGUAUCCCAAAGAGCUUUUAUGACAGCCCGGGCUUGCGCUGAGCUCUGUUCAAACAUCCACCCAGAGGUUAGGACAGCAGGCACUUCACUCUGAAGUGCCCCACAGACCGGCUCAUUCCUGGAGGCAUUGGUUUGUCCCCAGCAACAUCAGAGCUCAGCCCUCCACCGGCUAUCAGCACAGUAAGCACACAGCAAACAGAGGAACAGCAUCACGCAGGAAUGGGAAGGGGACAGAAUUCCGAAAUGGAAACAAACCCACAUCACUGCACCUCCCACAGAAAGGCGACGGAGCCCCGGGGGCAGCACUGCUGGAAGAGUCAAAAUUCCGGCCUCAGGGGACCUACUCUGCGUUUUCUGACUUACGCGGCACAGUACCGUCCACCUGG